Long non-coding RNA from Sceloporus undulatus (fence lizard), 351 nucleotides. RefSeq lists it as uncharacterized. The transcript has 3 exons. The record is from RefSeq and is a predicted model, not a curated record. NCBI's taxonomy places the organism in Eukaryota, Metazoa, Chordata, Lepidosauria, Squamata, Phrynosomatidae.
CCCAAACUGAAAAUGUAAGUCAGGAUUUUAGUGAUUAUCUAAGCAUGUAGCACACAAAAUAUUUUCCGGCUUCAGGAUGCUGCUAUGAAGGCUUAGACUGGUGCUCUGAAACUUGGAGAACUGAAGAAAGAGCACCUCAGAUUGUGGCAGGUCAAAUACCCCUUCUUCAAACAACAGGUUCCCUCCCUGACCCUCAGUAUUUUCACAGGAGGACCUAGGAACAAUAUCGCCUUCUCAUGCAGGAAGAGGUGCCUUUGCAUUGGUUUGAACCGUGCCAGGUCCUUCACUUUUGAAUGACCUUUUUUAUGAUCAGUCCAUACAUUAAAGGAGCCUUGCAUUAGAAGUUUGCCG